GCCUUAUGCAUAGAGUAAUGUUGUGGAUUUUGAGUAAUUCCCAAUUUUUAUAAUGCAAUUUGAAGGAAAGAGGUUACACUGUGCUUAAGGAACAAGAUUGCCAUUUGACAAAUACGAGGUUCAAAUCUCUUGGAAAGUUAAGGAUGCAAAUGUCAAUCUGAUCAUACUGAUAGAAGGAUUUUUAGUUUUCAAAAACUCCUUCAAACUAAUGAUUCCAUUGACAAAGCCAUGACCUUUUCUUUCUACCAUGUUUCUGUAAAUGAGGCAGUUAUCCACCUCCAAUGAUUUUGCUAUAAAUAAGCCACUAAGCUGUAGUAUUCCCAGUUUCCUGCCGGCUAUCUGUGUGUCCUCCUGGGGUUAUAUGUGGUUUAUCCUGCUUGAGCUGUUUCUUUCAGCCUUCUGCUCUGUUGAAAAAUGAACAUCUUGUUUACAGACUGCAAUACAGUGUUGCUUUUCAUGUGUCAAUCAAAUGUUAAACUUUGUGAAUGUUUUGUCACUGGUUGUUUUAUGUAUCUGUUGCCAUUGUGUGUAAACUAAGGUGUUUACUUUUAACCCUGAUAUGUCAAAAGGAACCACCAUAAACUGGGACUACUUUGGGACUGGUAGGGUAAUAUUAGGUCAGCGAUCCUUCAAUGUGCAGGCCGCAACUUGUGAGAUACCAUGUUGCUUCCGAGGUCUCUACUAGCUUUGAUCUUUGCUGCCAUCUAUUGGCCAUCUCCAAAAUUUCCACAUACCACCUGUGCUAGGCAGCAGCCAUUUUCGUAUUCGUGCCAGUGGUGACAAGUGAUAAGCAUGCUGCAAACUUUCACAUACAAAAGUGGAACUACUUUUGGACCACAAAAGACAGGAACUGUCGGGAAGGCUUCUCAAAAGUAUGGAAUCCCAAAGAACACACCUCUACUAAAAGUUAAAGAAAGGCGUGGGGGACAGUUGGCAGGCAUUGUGUGUGUAGAGGAACGGUUUGUUUCCCGUGCAAUAGCUUUAUCAAGUUUUGGAUUUCCCAUGCGGACAUUUGACCUCUGAUGCAUGGUAAAGGCGUGCCUUGACAGAUGUAACAGGAAGGAAGCCAGAUUUAAAAACAACUUCCCUGGAAUAGACUGGGCAAGACAAUUUAUGCAAGGGCACAAUGCUGUUUUGACACUCGGGCUGACGAAAAACAUCAUGUAUGCAAGAGCAGAAAAUGACAAAGAAAUCAUGAAUGCAUUCUUUGACAAUCUGGAGAUAGAGAUGGAAGAUGUUCCAUCUGUGAAUUUGUGGAAUUAUGAUGAAAUCAAUUUAGUUGAUGAACCACAGGGUUCAAAAAUAAUUACUAAAAGGGGAACAAAGUAUCCUGAACAAAUACAGAAUUUGUCAAAAACAUGCAACUCCUUAAUAGUGUGUGGUAAUGCAGUGGGAACACUUGCCCCCCUUAUCUUAAAUUACAAAGCUGAAAAAUUGUGAGACACAUGGAUGGAAAAUGGGCCACCAGAAGCUAGGUAUAACGGAACCAAGAGUGGGUGGUGUUACAGUAAGUGCCUAUAGGAUUGGCUAUCCAGUUACUCCUGCCUAUCUUAAAACAAAAUGGUGUUAAGCUUAUUAUAGGUGACAACCUGAGCUUGCCUAUUAAUCUUGAAGUGCUCUGGUUGUGUGAAGAAUAUAACAUAAAACUCAUUGCACUGCCACUGAAUGCAACCCACUCUUUGCAACUGCUUGAUGUUGCAUACUUUCAACCUUUGAAAGUACAGUGGCAGAAGAUCCUUGGGGACUGGAAACAGACAGCAGUGGGCAGCAGGUGUAGCUCUGGGCCCAAGGACAAAUUCCCCACCUUGCUCAAGAAGCUGUGGAAAUUCAUGACCUCAAGAGGAGAUAACUUGUUCAGAAAACUGGCAAAUACCCCUUGAAUUGCCAAAUUAUGCUGGAAAGGAUUCCGUCAUUCAUGAUGGCUCAGUAAACAAACCUCACUGCAGUCACCGGUGACACCUUCAGUUAUCAACUCGUGCAGAAGCAAAAUGAAGCAAUUCAGAAGCGUCAGACUGUGAUAUGCAAAAGGGUAAAUGUUCCUGCAGGGAAGAGCAUUUAUGCAGCUGAUGUUCUUGCUGGCAAGAUGAACGAGCCAUCCACUUCAGUAAAAGGAACUAAAACUGCACAGAGAGCUCCUCAUCUGGCAAAGACAAUGGUAAACAAAGAGGACACGGACAAUGGUACUGACGAGAGAUCGUCUUCUGUUCCUUAUAGAAUUGGAUGACAGUGUAACCAUGGAUGUUGAGGAUGAAGAAGAUGGGUCUAAAGACACUGAUUAGCCUGUACCAACCCACUUGGUUGUGUCCCAUGGGAACCAAACAGAGAAUGUGUGCUGUUAGAUGUACGUACUUAUUCCAUAUGAAGGUAAACUGUAUCCAGGAUAAGUCACAGAAAGAACAACAGAGGGUUAUGUGGUCUGCACCAUGGAAAAAUGUGUGGAAAAAUGUGGAAACAAGUGGAAGUGGCCCGAGAAAUAGGAUCUUCUAGAAUAUGUUGCAGAAGGCAUUUCCAAAUCAUCAGCCCGUUGGAGAAAAUUGGUCAUCAAGGUAUUUUUUAUGUUAAGGAGUUGGGACUGUACGUGCCGGACUGAAUUUUCCGAGAUGUCUUUUUUUAUUUUUUGGUGAUUUGCAUUUUUUCAUGAUUUAUUAUCUGGUCACAGUUACCCAUUAAUUUCUCAAAUUCUUUAAUGUGUGUAAUUAUUAAUUUUUUCAGAAUUUCUAUGUUACUAUUACUUUUAAGUCAUUGUGGUAGAGCCAGUAUUAUCCAAAUAAAGAGUUGAUAGUCUAACAUU
Long non-coding RNA from Schistocerca americana (American grasshopper), 2791 nucleotides. RefSeq lists it as uncharacterized. The record is from RefSeq and is a predicted model, not a curated record. The transcript has 2 exons. NCBI's taxonomy places the organism in Eukaryota, Metazoa, Arthropoda, Insecta, Orthoptera, Acrididae.